AGCGCGAUGAGGGAAUCCCAAGUGCUUGCUCGUAAGAGUAAGCUGUUUUUAUGUCUAAAAAGCAUAGAGAGUAAGGGCUGGGUAAGACGGGUGCCAGCCGCCGCGGUAAUACCUGCAGCUCAAGUGGUGAUCAUUAUUAUUGGGCCUAAAACGUCCGUAGCCGGUUUGGUAAAUGCCUGGGUAAAUCGUGUAGCUUAACUAUACGAAUUCCGGGUAGACUGCCAAACUUGGGACCGGGAGAGGCUAGAGGUACUCCUGGGGUAGAGGUGAAAUUCUGUAAUCCUAGGGGGACCACCAGUGGCGAAGGCGUCUAGCUAGAACGGGUCUGACGGUCAGGGACGAAGCCCUGGGGCGCGAACCGGAUUAGAUACCCGGGUAGUCCAGGGUGUAAACGCUGCUUGCUUGAUGUUAGUUGGGCUCCGAGCCCAAUUAGUGUCGGAGGGAAGUUGUUAAGCAAGCUGCCUG
RNAcentral lists this ribosomal RNA (465 nucleotides) under uncultured archaeon. RNAcentral describes it as "bacterial SSU rRNA". It matches the Rfam family "Archaeal small subunit ribosomal RNA", at positions 364 to 830 of the family's 1478-position model. The record is from RNAcentral.